Molecule: ribosomal RNA, 377 nt
Filed under: uncultured bacterium
Lineage: Bacteria
Description: partial 16S ribosomal RNA
Rfam family: Bacterial small subunit ribosomal RNA
Source: RNAcentral
CCUACGGGUGGCAGCAGUGAGGAAUAUUGGUCUAUGGGCGCGAGCCUGAACCAGCCAUGUAGCGUGAAGGAUGACUGCCCUACGGUUUGUAAACUUCUUUUAUAAAGGAAUAAAGUGAGGCACGUGUGCCUUUUUGUAUGUACUUUAUGAAUAAGGAUCGGCUAACUCCGUGCCAGCAGCCGCGGUAAUACGGAGGAUUCGAGCGUUAUCCGGAUUGAAUGGGUUUAAAGGGAGCGUAGAUGGAUUGUUAAGUCAGUUGUGAGAGGUUGCGGCUCAACCGUAUAAUUGCAAUUGAUACUGGCAGUCUUGAGUACAAUUGAGGUAGGCGCAAUUCGUGGUAUAGCGGAGAAAUGCUUAGAUAUCACGAAGAACUCCGA